This 468-nucleotide ribosomal RNA is filed under the name uncultured bacterium. Its description in RNAcentral is "partial 16S ribosomal RNA". It matches the Rfam family "Bacterial small subunit ribosomal RNA", at positions 28 to 507 of the family's 1533-position model. The record is from RNAcentral.
GACGAACGCUGGCGGCGUGCUUAACACAUGCAAGUCGAACGGAAAGGCCCUGCUUUUGUGGGGUGCUCGAGUGGCGAACGGGUGAGUAACACGUGAGUAACCUGCCCUUGACUUUGGGAUAACUUCAGGAAACUGGGGCUAAUACCGGAUAGGAUCUCCUGCUGCAUGGUGGGGGUUGGAAAGUUUCGGCGGUUGGGGAUGGACUCGCGGCUUAUCAGCUUGUUGGUGGGGUAGUGGCUUACCAAGGCUUUGACGGGUAGCCGGCCUGAGAGGGUGACCGGCGACAUUGGGACUGAGAUACGGCGCAGACUGCUACGGGAGGCAGCAGUGGGGAAUAUUGCACAAUGGGCGGAAGCCUGAUGCAGCAACGCCGCGUGCGGGAUGACGGCCUUCGGGUUGUAAACCGCUUUCGCCUGUGACGAAGCGUGAGUGACGGUAAUGGGUAAAGAAGCACCGGCUAACUACGUG